This is a long non-coding RNA of Platichthys flesus (European flounder), 605 nucleotides long. RefSeq lists it as uncharacterized. The transcript is spliced from 4 exons. Lineage: Eukaryota; Metazoa; Chordata; Actinopteri; Pleuronectiformes; Pleuronectidae. The record is from RefSeq and is a predicted model, not a curated record.
CAACCAUAGAUAUAUAUAAAGACUAGAUGUCUUCCGGCGGAGUCUAGAACGUCAUCACUGGCGGCCAUCUUGCCACAGGCAGGCUUUCUGGAAGGAUCUGUGGUACCUGAGGGAGGGUUCCUCUCUGUCCUGGGCUACAUCAUAAACAUUGACACGUUGCUGGCGAUGGUUCCUGUGCUGAUUGAAGGACAGCGAUAUGUCUUGACCUACAGAUUCAGCAAGGACCACUUGGAACUGCUCUUUAACUCCAUCAGAGCAUCCGGUGGCUGGAAUAACAACCCUAAUGCCAGCCAGUUCAAGUAGUUGUUAAACCAUGCCGAGGCAAUGUGACAGCGCAGGAUGAGACAGAGUCCCUACCAGCGGUCAUCGACACCUCUACAAGCCUAUCGGCUGUAGAUAUGUCCUUUGCAGCAGGAGGAGAAGAAGAUCUUCCAUCCCCGUUUGCUGACAUUCCUGCCUUAGUACAUGACCACAGCUACCUUCCCAUCCGCUUCGAUGGUCUUGUGGACAACGCUCUUGUGUACAUUUCCGGACUUGGUGUGCGACGGGCUCUGAAGAAGCUGUCCUGUGAUGUCUGCCGUGCCAGCCUGGUGACAGAGGCUGCA